AGAGUUUGAUCAUGGCUCAGGAUGAACGCUGGCAGUGUGCCUAAUACAUGCAUGUCGAACGAAGUGAUGCUUGCAUCACUUAGUGGCAAAUGGGUGAGUAACACGUACUUAACCUACCCGAAAGACUGGAAUAGCUAUGAGAAAUCGUAGGUAAUACCGGAUAAUAUUUAGAAUCGCAUGAUUCUAUUUUAAAAGGAGCGUUCGCUCCACUUUCGGAUGGGAGUGCGGGACAUUAGUUAGUUGGUGGGGUAAAGGCCUACCAAGACGAUGAUGUCUAGCCGAGCUGAGAGGCUGACCGGCCACACUGGGACUGAGAUACGGCCCAGACUCCUACGGGGGGCAGCAGUAGGGAAUUUUUCACAAUGAGCGAAAGCUUGAUGAAGCAACACUGCGUGCAGGAAGAAGGUCUUCGGAUCGUAAACUGCUGUUGUAAGGGAAGAAAGGUAACUGGAGGAAAUGCCAGCUAUUUGACGGUACCUUACCAGAAAGUCACGGCUAACUAUGUGCCAGCAGCCGCGGUAAUACAUAGGUGACAAGCGUUAUCCGGAAUUAUUGGGCGUAAAGCGUUCGUAGGUGGUUUACCAAGUCAAAAGUUAAAUCCUGAAGCUCAACUUCAGCUCGCUUUUGAAACUAGUAAACUAGAGUUAUAGAGAGGUCAAUGGAACUCCUAGUGAAGCGGUGGAAUGCGUAGAUAUUAGGAAGAACACCAGUGGCGAAGGCGAUUGGCUGGCUAUAUACUGACACUGAGGAACGAAAGCGUGGGUAGCAAAUAGGAUUAGAUACCCUAGUAGUCCACGCUGUAAACGAUGAUCAUUAGAUGUCGGGCAAAAGCUCAGUAUCACAGCUAACGCGUUAAAUGAUCCGCCUGAGUAGUAUGCUCGCAAGAGUGAAACUUAAAGGAAUUGACGGGGACCCGCACAAGCGGUGGAGCAUGUGGUUUAAUUUGAAGAUACGCGAAGAACCUCACCUACACUUGACAUCUUCCGCAAAGCUAUAGAGAUAUAGUGGAGGUUAACGGAAUGACAGAUGGUGCAUGGUCGUCGUCAGCUCGUGUCGUGAGAUGUUUGGUUAAGUCCAGCAACGAGCGAAACCCCUAUCCAUAGUUACUAACAUUCAGUUGAGGACUCUAUGGAGACUGCCCGGGUAACCGGGAGGAAGGUGGGGAUGACGUCAGAUCAUCAUGCCUCUUACGUGUAGGGCAACACACGUGCUACAAUGGUAAAUACAAAGGGAAGCAAUACCGUGAGGUGGAGCAAACCCCAAAAAAUUUAUCUCAGUUCGGAUUGAAGUCUGCAACUCGACUUCAUGAAGCUGGAAUCGCUAGUAAUCGUAGGUCAGCUAUACUACGGUGAAUACGUUCUCGGGUCUUGUACACACCGCCCGUCACACCACGGGAGCUGAUAAUACCCAAAGCCGGUUAGUUAACUUCGGAAACGACUGUCUAAGGUAGGAUUGGUGACUGGGGUGAAGUCGUAACAAGGUAAC
RNAcentral lists this ribosomal RNA (1485 nucleotides) under uncultured bacterium. RNAcentral's name for it is "bacterial SSU rRNA". It matches the Rfam family "Bacterial small subunit ribosomal RNA". The record is from RNAcentral.